UGGUCUAGAAACGCCCAUGUCCACUAUAAAACACAUCCACGUGUUUAUCUAUCUAUAAAUCCUCUUUACCUGAUCAGCAAAAUAAAUCUUCUGUUUGCCAUACGUUUUCUCUUUUAUCUUGCCCUCGAGAGCCAGCAGCUCCAUGGAUUUGACCACCGCCUGUUGACACAAACAUUCACAAUGUUAUUGUUGUUUUGUUUUUUUUCAACACACAAAAGUAUUGUUUUGCCCAAGUCUAAAUCUGACCGUUUUGCCCAAUCCGUGCUGUUUUUGUAGGUUACAGAAGACAUCCUGGGUGCUGUAAGGACGGUUCUUGGCAUUCAGGCUGACCGUAGGACAGAAGGCUGCCAGCUCCUCCUCACUGUCGCUGCCUUCACCUGAGAUGACACCAUGUAGAGGCAAGCGCAGGACUGCAGAGAAGAGGCAAAAAAAAAAAAAAAAGAUGCAAAAGCUUUUAUUUACAGAAAAACCAUAGUCCCAUUGAGUAACAAAUAAAUGUGCCAACGACGCUCCUCACACUGGUUGUCGAGCGGCUUGGACAUCAUGUACCCGCAAACGCUGAAGUCCAGCCGCUGUAGGACCGGCUCCAGCUUCGCAAACAUGCACUGAAAAACCCUGUUGUAGGCCGCCAGAGGUGCCAGGAGCAUUGCCAACACUGGGCGAGACAGGAAAAGAGAAUUUUUACAAAAACGUAUAGUUUUUCUUAAUUAGCCAUAAUGGAUUCAAGGAGGCAUUUUGGCUCACCCACCACCGCAAGCUUUCCUCACCUCCUGAGCCCGGAUGAUCCCCUUUCAACACCCGUGAAUUUUUAAUAGGACUGUCGAGAUGGCAUUGCGCCGGCUUGGCGGGACUCACAAGUCGAGUAGGAAAGCACCAAGCCAGGAACGUAGCGUCCGAUCACGGCCAAAGAGAAGAAGAGGCAGCAGGUCAGGAUGCAAAACUGGAACGCACAAGCGAAGCACACACAUUGUGAUGCAUGGUGGAUUACGUAUGGCCACAUCAUUAGGUACACGUAAUAUAUCAAUUACAAUUUUACAAAUGCUCAGUUGUGAUUAUUUUCUUUUAAUGUAUUACUUAGCUAC
Phycodurus eques (leafy seadragon) is the source of this 1082-nucleotide long non-coding RNA. RefSeq lists it as uncharacterized. The record is from RefSeq and is a predicted model, not a curated record. The transcript is spliced from 3 exons. Lineage: Eukaryota; Metazoa; Chordata; Actinopteri; Syngnathiformes; Syngnathidae.